CGGACGGGUGAGUAACGCGUGGGGAACCUGCCCUGUACAGGGGGAUAACACUUAGAAAUAGGUGCUAAUACCGCAUAAGCGCACAGUAUCGCAUGAUACAGUGUGAAAAACUCCGGUGGUACAGGAUGGACCCGCGUCUGAUUAGCUGGUUGGCGAGGUAACGGCCCACCAAGGCGACGAUCAGUAGCCGGCCUGAGAGGGUGAACGGCCACAUUGGGACUGAGACACGGCCCAAACUCCUACGGGAGGCAGCAG
RNAcentral lists this ribosomal RNA (255 nucleotides) under uncultured bacterium. RNAcentral's name for it is "partial 16S ribosomal RNA". It matches the Rfam family "Bacterial small subunit ribosomal RNA", at positions 99 to 354 of the family's 1533-position model. The record is from RNAcentral.